Molecule: ribosomal RNA, 253 nt
Filed under: uncultured bacterium
Lineage: Bacteria
Description: partial 16S ribosomal RNA
Rfam family: Bacterial small subunit ribosomal RNA
Source: RNAcentral
UACGAAGGGUGCAAGCGUUACUCGGAAUUACUGGGCGUAAAGCGUGCGUAGGUGGUUUGUUAAGUCUGUUGUGAAAGCCCCGGGCUCAACCUGGGAAUGGCAUUUGGGACUGCAAGGCUGGAGUGUGGCAGAGGAGACUGGAAUUCCUGGUGUAGCAGUGAAAUGCGUAGAUAUCAGGAGGAAUACCGAUGGCGAAGGCAGGUCUCUGGGCUGACACUGACGCUCAUGCACGAAAGCGUGGGGAGCAAACAGG